GACGGGUGAGUAAUGCCUAGGAUUCUGCCUGGUAGUGGGGGAUAACGUUCGGAAACGGACGCUAAUACCGCAUACGUUCUACGGGAGAAAGCAGGGGACCUUCGGGCCUUGCGCUAUCAGAUGAGCCUAGGUCGGAUUAGCUAGUUGGUGGGGUAAUGGCUCACCAAGGCGACGAUCCGUAACUGGUCUGAGAGGAUGAUCAGUCACACUGGAACUGAGACACGGUCCAGACUCCUACGGGAGGCAGCAGUGGGGAAUAUUGGACAAUGGGCGAAAGCCUGAUCCAGCCAUGCCGCGUGUGUGAAGAAGGUCUUCGGAUUGUAAAGCACUUUAAGUUGGGAGGAAGGGUUGUAGAUUAAUACUCUGCAAUUUUGACGUUACCGACAGAAUAAGCACCGGCUAACUCUGUGCCAGCAGCCGCGGUAAUACAGAGGGUGCAAGCGUUAAUCGGAAUUACUGGGCGUAAAGCGCGCGUAGGUGGUUAGUUAAGUUGGAUGUGAAAUCCCCGGGCUCAACCUGGGAACUGCAUUCAAAACUGACUGACUAGAGUAUGGUAGAGGGUGGUGGAAUUUCCUGUGUAGCGGUGAAAUGCGUAGAUAUAGGAAGGAACACCAGUGGCGAAGGCGACCACCUGGACUGAUACUGACACUGAGGUGCGAAAGCGUGGGGAGCAAAC
This 676-nucleotide ribosomal RNA is filed under the name uncultured bacterium. RNAcentral describes it as "bacterial SSU rRNA". It matches the Rfam family "Bacterial small subunit ribosomal RNA", at positions 100 to 773 of the family's 1533-position model. The record is from RNAcentral.